CCCUUAGAUGUUCUGGGCGGCACGCGUGCUACACUGAUUAUUUCAACAAGUGUUUUAACUGGAGAGUUCGCGUAAUCCUGAAAUGUUAUCGUGAUGGGAGUAGAGUAUUGUAUUUGUUAAUCUUUAACGAGGAAUUCCUAGCAAGUGUAGGUUUAUAAGUUGUUCUGAUUACGUCCCUGCCCUUUGUACACACCGCCCGUCGCUCCUACCGAUUGAUUGAUCCGGUGAAUUACAUAGAAUUUUGCGUUUUACAUGACGGAAGACGAAGUGUUUUAAACCUUAUCAUUUAGAGGAAGGAGAAGUCGUAACA
Molecule: ribosomal RNA, 310 nt
Filed under: uncultured eukaryote
Lineage: Eukaryota
Description: partial 18S ribosomal RNA
Rfam family: Eukaryotic small subunit ribosomal RNA
Source: RNAcentral